Molecule: small nucleolar RNA, 133 nt
Filed under: Corvus brachyrhynchos (American crow)
Lineage: Eukaryota; Metazoa; Chordata; Aves; Passeriformes; Corvidae
Also listed under: 1 other name
Description: Small nucleolar RNA SNORA13
Rfam family: Small nucleolar RNA SNORA13
About the family: ACA13 is a member of the H/ACA class of snoRNA that guide the sites of modification of uridines to pseudouridines.
Source: Rfam by way of RNAcentral
GGCCUUUGUGUUGCCCAUUCAUUCCGGUCCAGAAUGAAUGUGGUGUCAAAAAAGGCAAACAGGAAUUCUUGCUCAAACUGGUUUAGGGAGCUGGUCGUGUACCUUCCUCCUCUCUGUUUUUGCAAGGACAAAA